This 876-nucleotide small RNA is filed under the name Pongo abelii (Sumatran orangutan). Its description in RNAcentral is "retained intron". Lineage: Eukaryota; Metazoa; Chordata; Mammalia; Primates; Hominidae. The record is from RNAcentral.
CGGCGGCGGCGGAGGCGGCGGCGGCACAGAGCCGGUGGUGGAGCCGCCGAGGCCAAGUGAUAUUGUGAAAAGAACACUGGACAGCAAGACAGGAGACCUUGGAUCUGCUACUCACUGACUGUGAGGAGGGUCACGCAGCACAAUGCCAGCUCUGCCCCUGGACCAACUCCAGAUCACCCACAAGGACCCGAAGACAGGAAAGCUGAGGACUUCACCAGCGCUGCACCCCGAGCAGAAGGCAGACCGGUAUUUUGUGUUAUACAAACCGCCCCCUAAAGACAACAUUCCCGCCCUAGUGGAGGAGUACCUGGAACGCGCCACCUUCGUAGCCAAUGACCUCGACUGGCUCCUGGCCUUGCCUCACGAUAAAUUCUGGUGCCAGGUGAUCUUUGACGAGACUCUACAGAAGUGCCUGGACUCCUACCUGCACUAUGUCCCCCGCAAAUUCGAUGAGGGGGUGGCCUCAGCCCCUGAGGUUGUUGACAUGCAGAAGCGCCUCCAUCGAAGUGUUUUUCUCACCUUCCUCCGCAUGUCCACUCACAAGGAAUCCAAAGAUCACUUCAUUUCCCCUUCUGCGUUUGGAGAAAUCCUCUACAAUAACUUCCUCUUUGACAUUCCAAAGAUCCUGGACCUCUGUGUGCUCUUUGGAAAAGGCAACUCACCACUGCUCCAGAAGAUGAUAGGUGUGUAGGAUGCAGGACUGGGAGGAUGCACGAAGAUGGCCCCCACAUGCCAAACUAAAGGUUGCAAAGGCCAGCGCUUUGACAGUGCCCCGGGACUCAGGGCGAUAGGGGCAGGGAGUCUUGGGAAAUUGCUUAACAGAUAUAUGAGUGUCACCUCAAAAUGACUAGGUAGUGACACUACCUAGGGAGGUGG